This 943-nucleotide long non-coding RNA is filed under the name Homo sapiens (human). RNAcentral describes it as "novel transcript". Lineage: Eukaryota; Metazoa; Chordata; Mammalia; Primates; Hominidae. The record is from RNAcentral.
GCGUUUUCCGCGUGUCCCGAGCCCCGGCGGCCCCGCGAGCUCGGUCCGUGCGGGGAAAGCAGGGCUGACGCCGUCUGCGGAGAGGACUGCGCAGCCGGGCUUGUGUGGGGCCGCGCGUAACGGCAGCGGCUACUCCCUGCCCAGGCCGGCCAGCACAGGGCCAUGGCCGAGGCGGCUGCGCCUCCGGACUGGCAUUGCGGACUGACCUCCAGGGAGAGGCCCAGAUCUGAUCUGCAGAGAUCUCCCUUCCGGCUAUCGUGGCUGCUGUUCAGGUGGUGGAGAAGAAGAUGGAACCCCAGGCUGCCUGGCUACAGAGCCUGGAGGGAUGCAUGUGGACAGCCAAGAAGAAGCUGGCUGACUGCGAGAAGGUGGCUGUGGAGUUCGGGAACCAGCUGGAGGGCCCUGGUUAAUGGUGGAGCCAGCCUGGUGUGUGGCAGCCAGGUCGGGCUGGUGUCUUCAGAGUGGCUGUGUCAGAAGGGCCUCGUGUAUGACAGAAACGCAGGCCAGCUGGAACGUCCCCAGGCGUUCUGUCCUGGAUCAAGCAAGAGGAAGGGGCAAGUGGGAGGAGCCAGCAGGGCCCACAGGAGACCACUGUGGCACACCUGUGCUCAGGUAAGGCAUGCUGGGCCAUGUCUCCUCAGGCCUGUAUCCCUGGGCCUUAGGAGACAUGGCGUCCCCUGGGGGGCCUCACAGCGCCUCUAGUGGGGCCUUCUCCUGGGCGAGGCUCCUGAGGGAAGGCAGUGCGCAGCCUUGGCUGUGUCUCUGCAGAAUCUUGUAUGCUUGCUGCGUGGUGUCCUCCCAUGCAGUUGCACGAAAUCAUUCUUUUAUUCCUGAUCCUGUUUCCUGUUUAUUUCAUGAACUUGUCUGUAGGCAGCAUGGUGCUGGGCGCUGCAGGGGCUCAUUAAUGCAUGAGACACAGAUUCCACUCAGGAGAGAGAAGACG